RNAcentral lists this ribosomal RNA (393 nucleotides) under uncultured bacterium. RNAcentral's name for it is "partial 16S ribosomal RNA". It matches the Rfam family "Bacterial small subunit ribosomal RNA", at positions 523 to 918 of the family's 1533-position model. The record is from RNAcentral.
AUACGGAGGAUGCGAGCGUUAUCUGGAUUCAUUGGGUUUAAAGGGAGCGUAGGUGGGAUAUUAAGUCAGCUGUGAAAGUUUGGGGCUCAACCUUAAAAUUGCAGUUGAUACUGGUUUCCUUGAGUACGGUACAGGUGGGCGGAAUUCGUGGUGUCGCGGGGAAAUGCUUAGAUAUUACGAAGAACUCCGAUCGCGAAGGCAGCUCACCGGGCCGGAACUGACACUGAUGCUCGAAAGUGCGGGUAUCAAACAGGAUUAGAUACCCUGGUAGUCCGCACAGUAAACGAUGAAUACUCGCUGUUUGCGAUACACUGUAAGCGGCCAAGCGAAAGCGUUAAGUAUUCCACCUGGGGAGUACGCCGGCAACGGUGAAACUCAAAGGAAUUGACGGGG